Equus quagga is the source of this 2939-nucleotide long non-coding RNA. RefSeq lists it as uncharacterized. The record is from RefSeq and is a predicted model, not a curated record. Lineage: Eukaryota; Metazoa; Chordata; Mammalia; Perissodactyla; Equidae. The transcript is spliced from 3 exons.
CAUAUCAGAGGUUCUGGAAAAACGGACCACCUCCAAGUCCUCUUUACAGCGUUCAGACGGUCUUCGUUUUCAUCAGUGACAACAUGUGUAGGUGCACAUUCAGUGAUAACCCGUAUUAACAGCCCACUCAUUCAGAAAGUCCUUUAGCAAAGCAAGAGUUAUUCCUGCAAUAAAGGCUUUGCUCUAUUUGAGGGAGUGAGUGAAAAAGAGAGAGUGAGCGAGAUCUACUUUGAGAGUUGAACUUCUUCAUCAAGCUCGGAUCAGAUUCUGCAGCAUGAGGCUAUACACACGGGUGACGGCCUGGACACAAACACUCGAUAUCCUACAUUGCAGACUCUUUAGUCUCAGAGAAAUCUUUCUCCACUUCUCCAGGUGUAUUUUCCUAAUAUUCCCGGGGGAGAGGAAUAAAGGUCACUGGCUUACAGUCAAACCAUUCACUUCAACUGGCAGCCCGAGCCGGUGCUGAGGGACUCCCUUCUCACUCCGCAAGGGCAGAUACGUAAAGAUGGGAAUAAGGAAAUUCCAAGGGAGAGGGUUCCAUGAGUUCUUUAUGUGACCCCACACAUCAGUUCUGAGCAAGAUGGAGUGCACACACCCCGCCCUGUCUCCCCCACUGAAUGUGGCUAUAAACCCUGGACGGCGCAAACAGAGCAGCUGUUUGAGGUCUCUGAAACGUAAACAGCAGCAGGCAGAUGAGGGAAGAUGACCAGAAUUUGAAACACCAGCAAACUGGUGCUCGUCGGUCACUUUGCCACGGGUGAGUCAUCUGCUCUGAGUCAUGCCUGGCUGAGACGGAAAGGCCAGGAGGAUGCCUCCAAACACACCUGGCUUACGAAAGGACAUCACGAGGGACACGGUCGGUGCCCAGGCACACGCUUUCCUAAGUAGACUAAAAAUUAAAAGAAAAAAAUCCCCUUUACUCUCUCUCACUCUUUUUCCUCGAAAUUUCCCAUUUCUCUCAGAAUUUGUUGGAGAUGAUUCCUAUGGGGAAUGGGUCUUGGUCACCCACUUUGGACUUUCAGAGGCAGGAGAACAUUUCUGGAAGGAGCCCAGAAAAACCCUGAGGACAAAAUCAGGUUUUUCUUACAUAAGGUUCUUCCUCGAAUGUAUGUACUACACGGACUGUCACACACGGGCCACCAUCGGACGGUUCCUCCUCUGAGAGCUAUGAAGAUACUGUUUACACAGGGACCACCAAACUGUACCUAAAACAAGGAAAGAUGAGAACCGUCCCAGACCAGAGGAGACUGGGGAGCUGUGACAACUAAACGCACCGUGGUCCUGGAACUGGGUCCUGGGACAGAAGGAGGAGCUGCCUGGAUCCGCGGGCCAGCUCUGCCCCUACGACGGGAGGCAAACCACUCUGCCUCUCCAGGCCUCAGCCUUCUCAUCUGUGAAACAGGUACGGCAGUGGUGGCUAGCCGUGGUGUUCUCGUGAGGGUUAAAGUGACAACCCACAGAGCACCUGGCACAUUGCUGGGCAUGGCAGAGGAAACCCGAUAAACAGGAGCUACAACAACUUUGCCCCCUCAGGGAGAAGGCAUAAACUGCACCCCGCUUCUUCCUCGAGUGUGCCGUCCUUGCCUCCUUGUCAGGGCCAACCCUGAAGUUUAAGGAGCUUGACUCUGAAAACCACCCCAUACAUAAAAGCUCUUUCCCCACCCUCUUGCCUCAAAGCCCCUAAGUUUACCAUUAUAGAUUCAUUUCUUCUAAGCACUUCCCUUCCAAAUGUAAAACUGCUGGCAGAGGUGUGUCAUCAGCUCUUGACACACGGGAACAGACCAGCCUAUGGGGUCCCCAUAGAAAGGGGUCCUGAAAAGGCAGGAGGAAGAAGGGAAAGUGGGGACGCAAGCUCAGCCCUCAGGGUGUGUGGGGGUGACGCUCGGGGACCUUCAAGGACAUUGGGUGUCUGGAAGGAGAUGCUGGUGGUGACAGUGCCACUGGAGGGGAGAGUGGGAAGCCGGAGGGGGACAGAGAAGGGAGCAACAGAAACUACUUUUCACUAGACCUCGUUCCGUGCCCUUUGAGUUUGGUAGCGUCUGCAUCAUGACCUAGGCAAAAUGAAUUAAAUUAAAUAAAGGAGGGGGGAUACUGGUCUCUGAGGGCGAAGGUGCAAGUUACUUCAGACACUCUGCUGGCAGCCCGCCCUGCUCUCACACUCUCCACCCCGCCCCCUCCCCCCAACGAGAAAAGCUGCCCCAUGAGCUCCUGGACGGCUCAUUCUGGGAACAGCAGCAAUACUUUUUCAGGGUCAAAAUUUGAGACACCAAAACCUUACACAAAAGCACUUCAGAACCGCUGGAGAAGCUCACCAAGGGAAAACGCAGCUUCCCCUAGUGUCGUGACCUCCCGUGAAAGCCGCUGUGUGAGGACUAACGCCGAGCGUCACGUGCAGCUGCACCAUUUGUUUCACCGUUGGACGUCAAUGAGCCACUCCUCCUCCACAAGGACCAGGUGAAGCCAAAUGCUGAGGAAGGAAAUAAUCCCUCCAGGGCCCCUGCAGAGGCAUCGGAGAAACCCCGCAUCCUGCCCUGGACUUGAGCUACUAGUAAGACCCAUCCACCAGCAGGCGGUAGGGGCGGGGGAGGCCGUGGACUUGGCAUUCAGAGCCAGGAAAAUCAUCCGGUCCGCACAACCUUGGGCCAACCACUCGAUUGCUGGGACCCUCACCCUUCUCACCUGUGACACAUAUAGAUCACCACUUACCUUGCCAGUUGUGGAAGCUUUAUACACAAAUAUCCAAAUCCAUGUCAUUACCCCUAAAAAUAACCCAGCACCUCCUGCUAGAUUUUCUCUGUAAAAUGUCCCCGGAUCUUGAAGUUGGAAGGUGUAAUGCAUGGACUUGUGUUCCCCUAAAAAGACACCUUGAAGUCCUAACCCCAGGAACCGUGAAUGUGACCUCAUUUGGAAAUAGGGUCUUUGCAGAUGUAAUUAGUGAA